This 258-nucleotide long non-coding RNA is filed under the name Homo sapiens (human). RNAcentral describes it as "non-protein coding lnc-SLC44A2-1:1". The record is from RNAcentral. Lineage: Eukaryota; Metazoa; Chordata; Mammalia; Primates; Hominidae.
GGCGUGAGCCACCUCGCUCAAGCACCCUUAGGUUUUAAAGUUUAACCUUGGGGUGUUUAAAUUUUGCAGUUAGAUUUGCUAGGUAGUCCUGGGUAUUUUGGGAAGUUCUUGUUUUGGCAGCAUGUCAGACUUUAUCCUUGAUGCUUGGGCCUUUCAGGUUUGAGCCUGCUCUGCUGGCUCGGAACUAGUUUAGUCGGAAGGGGCUGGCAGUUGCCUGUAGGGGGUAGAUUCAUCUGGUGUGUAUUAUGCUGAUGGGGU